GAGAUGUUUCGAAUGGGUUUCUUAUUUCUCGGUCCCUUUUAUUUCCUCCUCCUCCUCCUCCUCCGAUCUCAAGGGAGCGCAGUUCCGAAUCCGGGAGCGUUGUUUAAUGGGUCGGGCCUUGGUUGGAUGAGAACAAAACAAAGUGGUAGAACCUACCGCGGGGACCCCACUCGGAACCCAAGUGGCAACAUGACCCCUCUUCGCUAAUGCGUGGGUCCAAGGACUGAUUGCUUGUGUCCAUCUUCGGGUUCUUUUCUCAGGUCUCUGUGGAUGCCAUAAAGGGAUGGUUCUACGACGAGGACACAGCGUUGACCGAGAUGGGAAGGGGAAAGAAUAAAGAAAGGCAAGGACUUCCGGAGCUGGAGGAUGAUGGUCGAAUUUUUGCACUGCUAAUAUGGAUUCUGCCUAAGCCUGCCCCAUCGUUGUCUUGUGAUUAAAUAAAUAGAAUGACUUUUUAUACUUUUUCCGUGCCAUUGGAGUGGGAAGACAGGCUCUUCAAAUCAAGCCUUAAGAAAAUAAUUUAGACACUGGUGGAAGAGAUGGAUGGUUGCUUCUUUGAAACCCUCGGAAGCAAGCUUAGUUGACAUGGAGUACUAGAAUGUUUUGCAUUUAAUGAGCCACUAAGAUUGAUGCUAAUUCUCGUGGAUUGUAUGUGAUAAUGAAGGACCGUUUCUUU
RNAcentral lists this long non-coding RNA (676 nucleotides) under Phoenix dactylifera (date palm). RNAcentral describes it as "long non-coding RNA (PDAC_LNC002883)". The record is from RNAcentral. Lineage: Eukaryota; Viridiplantae; Streptophyta; Magnoliopsida; Arecales; Arecaceae.